This 497-nucleotide ribosomal RNA is filed under the name uncultured bacterium. RNAcentral describes it as "partial 16S ribosomal RNA". It matches the Rfam family "Bacterial small subunit ribosomal RNA", at positions 28 to 507 of the family's 1533-position model. The record is from RNAcentral.
GAUGAACGCUGGCGGCGUGCCUAAUACAUGCAAGUCGAGCGAACGGACGAGAAGCUUGCUUCUCUGAUGUUAGCGGCGGACGGGUGAGUAACACGUGGAUAACCUACCUAUAAGACUGGGAUAACUUCGGGAAACCGGAGCUAAUACCGGAUAAUAUUUUGAACCGCAUGGUUCAAAAGUGAAAGACGGUCUUGCUGUCACUUAUAGAUGGAUCCGCGCUGCAUUAGCUAGUUGGUAAGGUAACGGCUUACCAAGGCAACGAUGCAUAGCCGACCUGAGAGGAUGAUCGGCCACACUGGAACUGAGACACGGUCCAGACUCCGACGGGAGGCAGCAGUAGGGAAUCUUCCGCAAUGGGCGAAAGCCUGACGGAGCAACGCCGCGUGAGUGAUGAAGGUCUUCGGAUCGUAAAACUCUGUUAUUAGGGAAGAACAUAUGUGUAAGUAACUGUGCACAUCUUGACGGUACCUAAUCAGAAAGCCACGGCUAACUACGUG